This 450-nucleotide ribosomal RNA is filed under the name uncultured bacterium. Its description in RNAcentral is "partial 16S ribosomal RNA". It matches the Rfam family "Bacterial small subunit ribosomal RNA", at positions 338 to 795 of the family's 1533-position model. The record is from RNAcentral.
CCUACGGGCGGCUGCAGUGGGGAAUAUUGGACAAUGGGCGGAAGCCUGAUCCAGCAAUACCGCGUGUGUGAAGAAGGCCUGAGGGUUGUAAAGCACUUUCAAUUGGGAGGAAAACCCACCGGCCAAUACCCGGUGGCUUGACAUUACCUUUAGAAGAAGCACCGGCUAACUCCGUGCCAGCAGCCGCGGUAAUACGGAGGGUGCAAGCGUGAAUCGGAAUUACUGGGCGUAGAGUGGGCGUGUCCGAUUUGAAAGCCCCGGGCUUAACCUGGGAACUGCAUUUGAAACUGGCAGGCUAGAGUUGGGUAGAGGGGAGCGGAAUUUCAGGUGUAGCGGUGAAAUGCGUAGAUAUCUGAAGGAACACCAGUGGCGAAGGCGGCUCCCUGGACCCAAACUGACGCUGAGGUACGAAAGCGUGGGUAGCAAACAGGAUUAGAUACCCCAGUAGUC